GAUGAAGAACGUAGCGAAAUGCGAUAAGUAAUGUGAAUUGCAGAAUUCCGUGAUUCAUCGAAUCUUUGAACGCACAUUGCGCCCCCUGGCAUUCCGGGGGGCAUGCCUGUCCGAGCGUCAUUUCUGCCCUCCAGCCCGGCUGGGUGUUGGGCGCUGUCCCCCCGGGGACACGCCCCAAAGGCAGUGGCGGCGCCGCGUCGGGUCCUCGAGCGUAUGGGGCUUUGUCACCCGCUCGGGACGGACUCGUCGGCGCUGGUCUUCCUCCAGGCGACCCUUCGGGGCUCGUCUUCCUUCGGUUGACCUCGGAUCAGGUAGGGUUACCCGCUGAACUUAAGCAUAUCAAUAAGCGGAGGA
This 354-nucleotide unclassified non-coding RNA is filed under the name soil metagenome. RNAcentral describes it as "partial contains 5.8S ribosomal RNA, internal transcribed spacer 2, and large subunit ribosomal RNA". The stretch from base 1 to 120 matches the Rfam family "5.8S ribosomal RNA", at positions 35 to 154 of the family's 154-position model. The record is from RNAcentral.